UUGGAGCAGGUCUGUGUCUGGGCCGGAAUGUGUGUGUGUGACAGUGGGGAGAAAUAUGAAUAUAGCUGGAGGGGGCAGCCUCAUUCCCCAGCUGCACAGCCAUACCACCCCCCUCUGCAUCCCACAUGGAAUGAGAAUAGGCUGGAGGGGCUCCACUCGCACACACCCAUUACUGGGACACAAUAGUUUCCCAUUUCCCUGUCAUGAUUACUGGGUUCUCAUCGGCACGGGAAGGUCCAACAGUUCUGGGGAUCCUCACUGCGCCCAGCUUCCUUCUCUAUUAUUUACAGACAGAGCUCUGCCCUGUGAAUCCAUUAAACUCUGCUCCUUCCCCUCUCUGCAAAAGCUGCUCUGGAAAAUCUCAUCACGCAGCUGCUUUUAUAGGAUGGGGGUUGUUAUAUGAUUUCAACAGGCAGCAAUGUGUUUGGGAGAAUGGAAAGAAUUAAAGCUGAGGGAGAAAAGCAAUCCUGAAUAUUGCAUGUGUAUGUGUGUGUUCUUAUGUAUGUGUGUGUGGCUGGUUUUGUUGGUGUGUGGAGAAUGUGGACAGGUAACUGGCAGCAGGUAGGACCUAGAUGACUCCAUCAUGGAGCCCACCAGCACCACCUCGGUGCCACCACAAGGCACAGCAGGGGAGCCACAGGGAUGGGGAGAGCCACUUUGGGAGGAGGGAGACAGCUUUUUUAACUGAUGUGUCCACGUCCUCAGAAGAAUGGAACUAAUUUAACAACAGCGCCUCGUCACCACUUCCCCUGCGCUGCCAGCAACAAGCUGAGGAGAUGGGGAGAACAUGACCUCCAGCCAGGGGAGCGGGGGGGCGGGGCUGCGGCCAGCUGCGCUCUGCCAUUGGCUGAGAGGCUCCCUAUGACUCGCUACCGAGGGAACCUCCUGCCGAAUAAAUGGGACUGGCCGGACAAUGAUGUGAUUAGAGUUGCGGGCGGCAGGUUCUGCUGAAAGUCUGGAAUAGCCCGUCAAGAACCGCAUGAAAGUACAGCACAAGCCCUAAGCACCGGCUCUCACUCACAAGGAGUCUGCAUGACUAGCCGCUAGCCAUGCUCAGCUUUGUGGAUAUGCGGACUGUGCUGCUGCUGGCAGUCACACUAUACCUAGCAACAUGCCAAUCUGAGGGGCCCAGAGGAGACAAAGGCCCACAGGGAGAGAGGGUAAGCAAUGCUGCUCUUUUAUCCUCACUGCUAGAGCCAUAGGAAAACUGUCAGCAAACACCAGUCAGAUUCUAUAUAAGGAUAAUUACAUUUAUUGUAUAAUUUAUGAUUAUUUUAUUUCUUUUUUUAUGUUUAAAUUAUUUAAUAAAUAAAAGAAAGUAAUUGCCAAAACAUAGUGCCUUUUACACAGAAUAGUUCAUCUUGAUUUGUUCUAAUAAGCCUGCUAUCAGUUGUUUAAUAAAUAUUUAUUGUUUUUUUUUUGUAAAAGUGUAAUUUAUAAUUGAGAAUUUUGAAAUAAAAUUAAGAUUUUCUCACCAAUGGUCUAUGUGAUUUGUUGACCAAAUCAGUCAACGGAGACUUUGUUUUACUCACACAAUCAUUUUUCUGAUCCUAGAAGGGUCAAUAUUUAUUGGGACCGUUUAAGAUAUAUAUUCCUACAAGCUUACUGGAUAUGGAUGGAGCAAGAAUUUGUUUGGUGCACACAACUUGCCUCUUGCCCACUGAAGCAUUUGUGUAGCCGCCCGUGGCAUUAAACAUGACACAAAUGGCUUGUUAUACUGAAUCACAAUCCCCAACAAAAGUACUUAAAGCUCCAUAUUAAGUGUCUUGGGAUGUCACCACUUAGGUGGGAGUAAGAAGAG
This is a long non-coding RNA of Xenopus tropicalis (tropical clawed frog), 1801 nucleotides long. RefSeq lists it as uncharacterized. NCBI's taxonomy places the organism in Eukaryota, Metazoa, Chordata, Amphibia, Anura, Pipidae. The record is from RefSeq and is a predicted model, not a curated record. The transcript has 3 exons.